AUGGUGCCCAGGGUACCCCGGCCCUGCCCAGAGGACUGGGCCGCUCUUACAGGGUCCCUCUUCCCACCCUGCCCCAUCCUGACCACCCUGCCAUCCUGCCUCAGCCCCUCCCUCUUGCCAUCUCUCUCCGCGGAUGUAUGGUUAAGAAGACACUUCUCCUGUGCCCUACCCCCACCCCCCAACCCCGUCACCACAAACGUCACCCAGAAAGGGUGCAAGGAAAAAAAAAAAAAAACAAAACAGCUCCAACAGGAAAUGUGCUGCGAAAGUAAGAAGUAUGACUCCUGGGGAGGCUCCACCUGGCAGCCCCAGUGCAGGCAGGCAGGCGGUUCGGGUCUCCAUCCCCACCAGGGACAAGCAGGAGCAGGGCGGGGGCAACGGCAGAAGCUGGCCUGGCUCACAGGCCCGGGAGGCGUCAGGCCAGGCCAGAGCCGCACACCGGGGAUGCUCCAUGAACGGUUGUUGAAGGAAAGGCAGUUAAUGGCACCGGAGACAGAACACCAGAAAGCCAGUGACGCCAAACCCAGGAGAGCCCGCUUCACUAAGGAUGGCCGGGGGCCUCUGGGCUCCGCUGGGAGGGUCAGGUUUGGCUGGCUUUGGGACCCAACCCACCCCAGCCGGCUGCAGCGGAGCACCCAGGAGGCUCAUGAGUCCUCCCGGGCGGAGGGUUUAGACGCCGGUGCGGCCGGGAUCUCCAGCCGGUCCGCACUGUGGUGCACAACCACCGCCCCGAAACCCCCUCCUCCACCCCUGGAUCCUCAUCCUGUCACCUCCCCCCACCAUGGGACGGCUGACGGCCGGCGCGGGGAAGGCCUCCUAUCAGCCUCCUGGCCGCCCGCACCCGACUCUGAAAAAGGGGUUCUGGGCACCGCCGCCUCGGCCUCCUUGGCCGCCUCCCCUCCCCCGUGUUCCACCGGAAAAGUGUCGGGCCACCUGUGGGCCUCCCCCACCCCUGCCCGGGCUGCCGGGAGUGCGCGCAACGCCCCCGCCCCCUCCCGGGGGGACCAGACUGAACCGCGGCGGCUGGCGCUGCGCUGGGGAGCGGGGCCGGCGGGCGGGGCCUGGGCCGCAAGCCGCGCCUCUCGCGCUCGAGCGCCGCCUCUCCGGCCGGGACUGAGGGCUGCUGCGGGCUCCCGCUCCUGGGCAGUUUGGGCUGCGCCGCCAGGCCGGGGACCUGCGUCCGCUGGCGGACCAACAGCUCGGACCCCAUUGGGAGAAGCAAGGCCCGCCCCCCAGCACGCCAUCUCAUUGGAACAAGGCUGACUGCAGCUUCCUGAGAGCCCAGCCAGACGCCUGUCCCUCCAGAAUGAAGGUCUUUCUGCCGUUGCUGCUGGCUGCCCUCCUGGGCGUGGAGCGAGCCCACUCCCUGGUGUGCUUCACCUGCCAGAAUGUGCAAAGCAACUGGUAUUGCCUGAAGCCGACCAUCUGCUCCAACACUGACAGUUACUGUGUGACGGUCUCUGCAUCCGCUGGCCUCAAGAACGUGGUGGACUUGGGCUACUCCCUGUACAAGUUCUGCUCCCCGAUCUGCGGCUCCACAAGCCUCAACUUCGGCGUGGCGUCCAUGGAUACGUCCUGCUGCCAGAGCUUCCUGUGCAACAUCAGCGCGGCGGGCCGCGGGCCUCGGGCCAGCACCCUGGUGCUGGGCCUGGGGCUCCUGCUCAGCCUGCUGGUGGCUCUGCUGCGGUUUGGACCCUGACUGCCCAGCCCCGGCUCCCAAAACUCAGGAAGGAAGGAAAGCCCAGACCCAAGAGGAUCUCAAAGCCGCCGCCUCUGACUCCUCACCCUGCUAGUCCCACCUUCUCAGCCCUGGGUCCCCACAGGCAGGCCUGGCCCCCUGUACCCACACCUGUCAGCUCCCCCUACCUCCAGGUCAGCCUUGCCACGGGGACCUGGGAACGGAGCCUGAGGAUUCGGGAGUCAGAACCGAGUCCCAGGGACAUGCUGAGAGGGGGCUCCUAAUCCCAGGCCCUCCCUGCCCCCAAGUGCAGAAGAUGUGCCGUGUAGACAGGUGUGUGGUCCAUGUGCCCAGCUGGGCGUGUGUGAGUGUGUUUGGGGGAGGGGUGGGGGUCAGAAGCGUGUCUGGAGCCCCAAGCACCAGCACAGAGCCCCAGUCCCUGGUAUCUCUGCACAUGUCCUUGUAUUUCACUCACUUAGAGGGUGGCCUUUGGGGAGACGGCUUCCCCUGUUCCCAGGUCUAGGCUACUGACCCAGGAAUCUGUUCCUGCCCCAGAUCCCACAGCUGCCCACCCCCUCCCUCCACCCCACACUCCUGCUGCUUCGCUGCCUCAAAUAAACAUGUUUCCACCUUUUCUG
This is a long non-coding RNA of Bos indicus x Bos taurus (hybrid cattle), 2316 nucleotides long. Ensembl annotates it as lymphocyte antigen 6 family member E. NCBI's taxonomy places the organism in Eukaryota, Metazoa, Chordata, Mammalia, Artiodactyla, Bovidae. The record is from Ensembl.